RNAcentral lists this ribosomal RNA (474 nucleotides) under uncultured bacterium. Its description in RNAcentral is "bacterial SSU rRNA". It matches the Rfam family "Bacterial small subunit ribosomal RNA", at positions 915 to 1391 of the family's 1533-position model. The record is from RNAcentral.
GGGGACCCGCAAGCGGUGGAUGAUGCGGAUUAAUUCGAUGCAACGCGAAAAACCUUACCUACCCUUGACAUGUACGGAAGGCCAAAGAGAUUUGGCUGUGCUCGAAAGAAAACCGUAACACAGGUGCUGCAUGGCUGUCGUCAGCUCGUGUCGUGAGAUGUUGGGUUAAGUCCCGCAACGAGCGCAACCCUUGUCAUUAGUUGCUACAUUUAGUUGAGCACUCUAAUGAGACUGCCGGUGACAAACCGGAGGAAGGUGGGGAUGACGUCAAGUCCUCAUGGCCCUUAUGGGUAGGGCUUCACACGUCAUACAAUGGUACAUACAGAGGGCCGCCAACCCGCGAGGGGGAGCUAAUCCCAGAAAGUGUAUCGUAGUCCGGAUCGCAGUCUGCAACUCGACUGCGUGAAGUUGGAAUCGCUAGUAAUCGCGGAUCAGCAUGUCGCGGUGAAUACGUUCCCGGGUCUUGUACACACC